CCCUUAGAUGUUCUGGGCUGCACGCGUGCUACAAUGGCGCUUGCAACAAGUCUUGCCAACCCGAUAGGGUGAGCGGAUCUUUGAAGAGGCGUCGUGAUCGGGACAGUUGAUUGCAAUUAUUCGACUCGAACGAGGAAUUCCUUGUAAUCGCGAUUCAUCAUAUCGCGCUGAAUACGUCCCUGCCCUUUGUACACACCGCCCGUCGCUCCUACCGAUGGGUGAUCCGGUGAAUGAUUCGGACUUCAGCGGCUCCCCUGGGGUGCGCCGGAGAAAGUUUUGUGAACCUUAUCACUUGGAGGAAGGAGAAGUCGUAACA
Molecule: ribosomal RNA, 316 nt
Filed under: uncultured eukaryote
Lineage: Eukaryota
Description: partial 18S ribosomal RNA
Rfam family: Eukaryotic small subunit ribosomal RNA
Source: RNAcentral